Molecule: ribosomal RNA, 384 nt
Filed under: uncultured bacterium
Lineage: Bacteria
Description: bacterial SSU rRNA
Rfam family: Bacterial small subunit ribosomal RNA
Source: RNAcentral
AUUGAACGCUGGCGGCAUGCUUUACACAUGCAAGUCGAACGGCAGCGGGGGCUUCGGCCCGCCGGCGAGUGGCGAACGGGUGAGUAAUGCAUCGGAACGUGCCCAGUCGUGGGGGAUAACUACGCGAAAGCGUAGCUAAUACCGCAUACGUCCUGAGGGAGAAAGCGGGGGAUCUUCGGACCUCGCGCGAUUGGAGCGGCCGAUGUCGGAUUAGCUAGUUGGUGAGGUAAAGGCUCACCAAGGCGACGAUCCGUAGCUGGUCUGAGAGGAUGAUCAGCCACACUGGGACUGAGACACGGCCCAGACUCCUACGGGAGGCAGCAGUGGGGAAUUUUGGACAAUGGGGGAAACCCUGAUCCAGCCAUGCCGCGUGAGUGAAGAAGG